Molecule: ribosomal RNA, 292 nt
Filed under: uncultured bacterium
Lineage: Bacteria
Description: partial 16S ribosomal RNA
Rfam family: Bacterial small subunit ribosomal RNA
Source: RNAcentral
GUGCCAGCAGCCGCGGUAAUACGGAGGGUGCAAGCGUUAUCCGGAUUUAUUGGGUUUAAAGGGUGCGUAGGCGGCAAUUUAAGUCAGUGGUGAAAUCCUGCAGCUCAACUGUAGAACAGCCAUUGAAACUGAAUUACUUGAGUAAUCUUGAGGUAGGCGGAAUGUGUAGUGUAGCGGUGAAAUGCUUAGAUAUUACACAGAACACCGAUUGCGAAGGCAGCUUACUAAGGAUUUACUGACGCUGAUGCACGAAAGCGUGGGGAUCAAACAGGAUUAGAAACCCUCGUAGUCC